Molecule: ribosomal RNA, 252 nt
Filed under: uncultured bacterium
Lineage: Bacteria
Description: partial 16S ribosomal RNA
Rfam family: Bacterial small subunit ribosomal RNA
Source: RNAcentral
UACGUAGGGUGCGAGCGUUGUCCGGAAUUACUGGGCGUAAAGAGCUCGUAGGUGGUUUGUCGCGUUGUUCGUGAAAUUCCCUGGCUUAACUGGGGGCGUGCGGGCGAUACGGGCAGACUGGAGUACUGCAGGGGAGACUGGAAUUCCUGGUGUAGCGGUGAAAUGCGUAGAUAUCAGGAGGAACACCUGCGGUGUAGACAGCUUUCUGGACCAUCACUGACGCUGAGACACGAAAGCGUGGGUAGCAAACAG